Molecule: ribosomal RNA, 328 nt
Filed under: uncultured Bacteroidota bacterium
Lineage: Bacteria; Pseudomonadati; Bacteroidota
Description: bacterial SSU rRNA
Rfam family: Bacterial small subunit ribosomal RNA
Source: RNAcentral
GAUGAACGCUAGCGGGAGGCUUAACACAUGCAAGUCGUGGGGCAGCAUAAGGUAGCAAUACUUUGAUGGCGACCGGCGCACGGGUGAGUAACACGUAUGCAACCUGCCCUGUACAGGGGGAUAGCCCGGAGAAAUUCGGAUUAAUACCCCAUAAUGAUAUUUAGAGGCAUCUUUAGAUAUUUAAAGUUUCGGCGGUACAGGAUGGGCAUGCGCAACAUUAGCUGGUUGGUAGGGUAACGGCCUACCAAGGCGACGAUGUUUAGGGGACCUGAGAGGGUGAUCCCCCACACUGGUACUGAGACACGGACCAGACUCCUACGGGAGGCUG